UGGCGCACGGCUGAGGAGCACGUGGCUGACCAACCCUGGCGUGGGGGACAACGGGUCGAAAGACGCGCUAAUCCCGCAUACGAUCCGCUUCGGCGGAGGAAAGCCGCAAGGCGCGCGAGGCUGGGGCCGCGGCCCAUUAGGUUGUUGGUGUGGUAAUGGCGCACCAAGCCCGUGAUGGGUUCCGGGUCUGAGAGGACGACCCGGCAGACUGGGACUGAGACACGGCCCAGACUCCUACGGGGGGCAGCAGCAAGGAAUUUUCGGCAAUGGGCGCAAGCCUGACCGAGCAACGCCGCGUGGAGGAUGACGGCUUUCGGGUUGUAAACUCCUUUUCAGGGGGACGAAACACUGACGGUACCCCUGGAAUAAGGCCCGGCUAACUACGUGCCAGCAGCCGCGGUAAUACGUAGGGGCCGAGCGUUGUCCGGACUUACUGGGCGUAAAGCGUGGGUAGGUGGAUGGCGAUGUGCCGUGUGAAAGCCCCGCGCUUCUCGCGGGGAGGUCAUGGUAGAC
RNAcentral lists this ribosomal RNA (513 nucleotides) under uncultured Herpetosiphon sp. Its description in RNAcentral is "bacterial SSU rRNA". It matches the Rfam family "Bacterial small subunit ribosomal RNA", at positions 96 to 633 of the family's 1533-position model. The record is from RNAcentral. Lineage: Bacteria; Bacillati; Chloroflexota; Chloroflexia; Herpetosiphonales; Herpetosiphonaceae.